CCUACGGGCGGCUGCAGUGGGGAAUAUUGCACAAUGGGCGCAAGCCUGAUGCGGCCAUGCCGCGUGUGUGAAGAAGGCCUUCGGGUUGUAAAGCACUUUCAGCGGGGAGGAAGGCGUUAAGGUUAAUAACCUUGUCGAUUGACGUUACCCGCAGAAGAAGCACCGGCUAACUCCGUGCCAGCAGCCGCGGUAAUACGGAGGGUGCAAGCGUUAAUCGGAAUUACUGGGCGUAAAGCGCACGCAGGCGGUCUGUCAAGUCGGAUGUGAAAUCCCCGGGCUCAACCUGGGAACUGCAUUCGAAACUGGCAGGCUAGAGUCUUGCAGAGGGGGGUAGAAUUCCAGGUGAAGCGGUGAAAUGCGUAGAGAUCUGGAGGAAUACCGGUGGCGAAGGCGGCCCCCUGGACAAAGACUGACGCUCAGGUGCGAAAGCGUGGGGAGCAAACAGGAUUAGAUACCCGAGUAGUC
This 465-nucleotide ribosomal RNA is filed under the name uncultured Klebsiella sp. Its description in RNAcentral is "bacterial SSU rRNA". It matches the Rfam family "Bacterial small subunit ribosomal RNA", at positions 338 to 795 of the family's 1533-position model. Lineage: Bacteria; Pseudomonadati; Pseudomonadota; Gammaproteobacteria; Enterobacterales; Enterobacteriaceae. The record is from RNAcentral.